AUGCACAGUAACAAGUAAAACCGAUAGAUGGCUUUAUAGAUGCGUGUAUUUAACGUAAAAUCGAGUUUUAUUAUUGUAUUAAAUAUUUUGGUGAAAUGAAAUUUUAAAGACAAACAAUCUUGUGAUAUCUUGUUUUUUAUAAUUUUCAAGUUAUUGAUGACCUGUGAACGAUUAAAUUUAAAUGAGGUUGGCUUCAAUCUUGCUGGAAUUUUCCCUUUGGACUCUGAACACUAUCUUUUGUAUUUACUGGAAAACGCUGGAUUGAUGUUGAUGUUCAUAACAAAUUUUAAUAAAUCAAGCUCUAAUCAACAGCCAAGUGUCCCUCUUCAAACACAAAAUGUGACAAAUCAAGAAAAUUAAUUCAUUGCUAAUUCAUUUUUCUUGCGUAAAGUAUCAACCAAAAACUGAAGAAAUCAGUUUCAGCGAGACUGAAAAUUAUAAAAAUACGCUGACCAGCGAAUAGUGUAAAUGAGCUACUAACAUGUAAGCAUUUCAUCGUAAUCUCAUUAUCUGGUACUAUACUGUAAUGCCUAAGUUCAAACUGAUGAGAUAUGAAAGUGUAGUUAAUUUAAAGACAUCUUUGCGUGGUAAAGUUCAUAAACUUAUUAGCAUUCAUGCUAAAACAAUGGGUAAAGCUUAUUAAACCAAAUUAAAUUUUUGAUAAAUGAUUAUGAAAUAUCUCAUUAUUUUUAAAAUUAAUAUGAAUAAUUAUGACUUAUAACUGAUAUGUCAUAGAUCAAUAAAAAUUAUUAAUUGUAUUAUCUCGACUAUUAAUUAAAUGUCAGCUGUUGUCAUUAAAUACAUUGUAUCAAUUUAUUAUUAGAAA
Molecule: long non-coding RNA, 826 nt
Organism: Tetranychus urticae (two-spotted spider mite)
Lineage: Eukaryota; Metazoa; Arthropoda; Arachnida; Trombidiformes; Tetranychidae
Source: RefSeq, a predicted model, not a curated record